This 254-nucleotide ribosomal RNA is filed under the name uncultured bacterium. Its description in RNAcentral is "partial 16S ribosomal RNA". It matches the Rfam family "Bacterial small subunit ribosomal RNA", at positions 524 to 776 of the family's 1533-position model. The record is from RNAcentral.
UACGGGGGGAGCAAGCGUUGUUCGGAUUUACUGGGCGUAAAGGGCGCGUAGGCGGCCAGCACAAGUCAGUUGUGAAAUCUCCGAGCUUAACUCGGAAAGGUCAACUGAUACUGUGCGGCUAGAGUGCGGAAAGGGCAACUGGAAUUCUUGGUGUAGCGGUGAAAUGCGUAGAUAUCAAGAGGAACACCUGCGGCGAAGGCGGGUUGCUGGGCCGACACUGACGCUGAGGCGCGAAAGCCAGGGGAGCGAACGGG